This 264-nucleotide ribosomal RNA is filed under the name uncultured bacterium. RNAcentral describes it as "partial 16S ribosomal RNA". It matches the Rfam family "Bacterial small subunit ribosomal RNA", at positions 89 to 354 of the family's 1533-position model. The record is from RNAcentral.
UGGCGACCGGCGCACGGGUGAGUAACACGUAUCCAACCUGCCGAUAACUCGGGGAUAGCCUUUCGAAAGAAAGAUUAAUAUCCGAUAGGAUAUCAAGAUCGCAUGAUCUUGAUAUUAAAGAAUUUCGGUUAUCGAUGGGGAUGCGUUCCAUUAGUUAGUUGGCGGGGUAACGGCCCACCAAGACGACGAUGGAUAGGGGUUCUGAGAGGAAGGUCCCCCACAUUGGAACUGAGACACGGUCCAAACUCCUACGGGAGGCAGCAG